ACGGCUCAGUAACACGUAGACAACCUACCCUUAGGACAGGUAUAAACCCGGGAAACUGGGUAUAAUCCCUGAUAGUCCUCGACUGCUGGAAUGCAUCGAGGCCGAAAGCUCCGGCGCCUAAGGAUGGGUCUGCGGCCUAUCAGGUAGUAGUGGGUCUAAAGUACCUACUAGCCUACGACGGGUACGGGUUGUGAGAGCAAGAGCCCGGAGAUGGAUUCUGAGACACGAAUCCAGGCCCUACGGGGUGCAGCAGGCGCGAAAACUUUACAAUGCCGGCAACGGCGAUAAGGGGACCUCGAGUGCCAGGUUACAAAUCUGGCUGUCGUGAUGCCUAAAAAGCAUUGCAUAGCAAGGGCCGGGCAAGACCGGUGCCAGCCGCCGCGGUAACACCGGCGGCUCGAGUGGUAACCGUUAUUAUUGGGUCUAAAGGGUCUGUAGCCGGCCGGAUAAGUCUCUUGGGAAAUCCAGCAGCUCAACUGUUGGGCUUCCAGGAGAUACUGUCUGGCUCGAGGCCGGGAGAGGUGAGAGGUACUUCAGGGGUAGGGGUGAAAUCUUGUAAUCCUUGAAGGACCACCAGUGGCGAAGGCGUCUCACCAGAACGGACCUGACGGCAAGGGACGAAAGCUAGGGGCACGAACCGGAUUAGAUACCCGGGUAGUCCUAGCCGUAAACGAUACUCGCUAGGUGUCGGCCACGGUGCGACCGUGGUCGGUGCCGUAGGGAAGCCGUGAAGCGAGCCACCUGGGAAGUACGGCCGCAAGGCUGAAACUUAAAGGAAUUGGCGGGGGAG
Molecule: ribosomal RNA, 790 nt
Filed under: uncultured archaeon
Lineage: Archaea
Description: bacterial SSU rRNA
Rfam family: Archaeal small subunit ribosomal RNA
Source: RNAcentral